Molecule: ribosomal RNA, 979 nt
Filed under: human gut metagenome
Description: bacterial LSU rRNA
Rfam family: Bacterial large subunit ribosomal RNA
Source: RNAcentral
ACGGUCCUAAGGUAGCGAAAUUCCUUGUCGGGUAAGUUCCGACCCGCACGAAAGGUGUAACGAUUUGGGCACUGUCUCAACGAGGGACCCGGUGAAAUUGAAAUACCUGUGAAGAUGCAGGUUACCCGCGACUGGACAGAAAGACCCCAUGGAGCUUUACUGUAACCUGACAUUGGGUUUUGAUACAUUACGUACAGGAUAGGUGGGAGGCAUGGAAAGCUGGACGCUAGUCUGGCUGGAGCCGACGUUGGGAUACCACCCUUGAUGUAUUGAAAUUCUAACCGCGAGAGUAACGAAAUCCGGGACAGUGUCAGGCGGGCAGUUUGACUGGGGCGGUCGCCUCCGAAAGAGUAACGGAGGCGCCCAAAGGUUCCCUCAGCGCGGCCGGAAAUCGCGCGAAGAGUGUAAAGGCAGAAGGGAGCUUGACUGCGAGCCAAACACGGCGAGCAGGUACGAAAGUAGGGCUUAGUGAUCCGGUGGUACCGAGUGGAAGGGCCAUCGCUCAACGGAUAAAAGCUACCCUGGGGAUAACAGGCUAAUCUCUCCCAAGAGUCCAUAUCGACGGGGAGGUUUGGCACCUCGAUGUCGGCUCAUCACAUCCUGGGGCUGAAGUCGGUCCCAAGGGUUGGGCUGUUCGCCCAUUAAAGUGGUACGUGAGCUGGGUUCAGAACGUCGUGAGACAGUUCGGUCCCUAUCCAUCGCGGGCGCAAGAGAUUUGAAGGGGUCUGCUCCUAGUACGAGAGGACCGGAGUGGACGGACCGCUGGUGUACCAGUUAUUCCGCCAGGAGUACAGCUGGGUAGCUACGUCCGGACUGGAUAAACGCUGAAAGCAUCUAAGCGUGAAGCCAUCCUUAAGAUGAGAUCUCUCACAGAGUAAUCUGGUAAGACACCUUAAAGAAGAUGAGGUAGAUAGGCCGGGAGUGUAAGUGCAGCAAUGUAUUGAGCUGACCGGUACUAAUAUGUCGAGGGCUUGACUUC